Molecule: small RNA, 1351 nt
Filed under: Pan troglodytes (chimpanzee)
Lineage: Eukaryota; Metazoa; Chordata; Mammalia; Primates; Hominidae
Description: retained intron
Source: RNAcentral
AUGGCCGUCAUGGCGCCCCGAACUCUCUCCUGCUACUCUCGGGGGCCCUGGCCCUGACCCAGACCUGGGCGGGCUCCCACUCCAUGAGGUAUUUCUCCACAUCGGUGUCCCGGCCCGGCCGCGGGGAGCCCCGCUUCAUCGCCGUGGGCUACGUGGACGACACGCAGUUCGUGCGGUUCGACAGCGACGCCGCGAGCCAGAGGAUGGAGCCGCGGGCACCGUGGAUAGAGCAGGAGGGUCCGGAGUAUUGGGACCGGGAGACACGGAGUGUGAAGGCCGGCGCACAGAUCUACCGAGCGAACCUGGGGACCCUGCGCGGCUACUACAACCAGAGCGAGGACGGUGAGUGACCCCGGCCCGGGGCACAGGUCACGACCCCUCAUCCCCCACGGACGGGCCGGGUCGCCCACAGUCUCCGGGUCCGAGAUCCACCCCGAAGCCGCGGGACCCCGAGACCCUUGCCCCGGGAGAGGCCCAGGCGCCUUAAUCCGGUUUCAUUUUCAGUUUAGGCCAAAAAUCCCCCCGGGUUGGUCGGGGCCGGGCGGGGCUCGGGGAACAGGGCUGACCGCGGGGUCGGGGCCAGGUUCUCACACCAUCCAGAUAAUGUAUGGCUGCGACGUGGGGUCGGACGGGCGCUUCCUCCGCGGGUAUGAACAGCUCGCCUACGACGGCAAGGAUUACAUCGCCCUGAACGAGGACCUGCGCUCUUGGACCGCGGCGGACAUGGCAGCUCAGAUCACCCAGCGCAAGUGGGAGGCGGUCCAUGCGGCGGAGCAGCAGAGAGCCUACCUGGAGGGCCGGUGCGUGGAGUCGCUCCGCAGAUACCUGGAGAACGGGAAGGAGACGCUGCAGCGCACGGACCCCCCCAAGACACAUAUGACCCACCACCCCAUCUCCGACCAUGAGGCCACCCUGAGGUGCUGGGCCCUGGGCUUCUACCCUGCGGAGAUCACACUGACCUGGCAGCGGGAUGGGGAGGACCAGACCCAGGACACGGAGCUCGUGGAGACCAGGCCUGCAGGGGAUGGAACCUUCCAGAAGUGGGCGGCUGUGGUGGUACCUUCUGGAGAGGAGCAGAGAUACACCUGCCAUGUGCAGCAUGAGGGUCUGCCCAAGCCCCUCACCCUGAGAUGGGAGCCGUCUUCCCAGCCCACCAUCCCCAUCGUGGGCAUCAUUGCUGGCCUGGUUCUCCUUGGAGCUGUGAUCACUGGAGCUGUGGUCGCUGCCGUGAUGUGGAGGAGGAAGAGCUCAGGUGGAGAAGGGGUGAAGGAUAGAAAAGGAGGGAGCUACUCUCAGGCUGCAAGCAGUGACAGUGCCCAGGGCUCUGAUGUGUCUCUCACAGCUUGUAAAG